This 450-nucleotide ribosomal RNA is filed under the name uncultured bacterium. Its description in RNAcentral is "bacterial SSU rRNA". It matches the Rfam family "Bacterial small subunit ribosomal RNA", at positions 334 to 798 of the family's 1533-position model. The record is from RNAcentral.
GACCUACGGGAGGCAGCAGUGGGGAAUAUUGCACAAUGGGCGCAAGCCUGAUGCAGCAACGCCGCGUGAGGGAUGAAGGCCUUCGGGUUGUAAACCUCUUUUAGCAGGGAAGAAGCGAAAGUGACGGUACCUGCAGAAAAAGCACCGGCUAACUACGUGCCAGCAGCCGCGGUAAUACGUAGGGUGCAAGCGUUGUCCGGAAUUAUUGGGCGUAAAGAGCUCGUAGGCGGUUUGUCACGUCUGCUGUGAAAAUCCAAGGCUCAACCUUGGACUUGCAGUGGGUACGGGCAGGCUAGAGUGCGGUAGGGGAGAUGGGAAUUCCUGGUGUAGCGGUGGAAUGCGCAGAUAUCAGGAGGAACACCAAUGGCGAAGGCACAUCUCUGGGCCGUAACUGACGCUGAGGAGCGAAAGCGUGGGGAGCAAACAGGAUUAGAUACCCUAGUAGUCGGU